CGAACGGUUUCCAAGAACAGGUGUGGACGAGCACACACUAAACAACUUUCUUGGAAGACUAGCACGUAGGCUUAGGCGUGCUGCAGCUCGGUGCGGUUGCGGUACUAGUGCUGCGAUGAAUGUGCAUGUGCCACAGGAACGACAAUGCAACACACCUGUUGUGCAUGGUACAUCUUCUUUGGGAGGAUCUGGAGGACAGAGCUCGUCUCGACUAACUAUGGACACUUUUCAAAGCGAUGAUGAUGAGGACGAAGAGGGGGUGGCCGAGGAGCGUGACUAUGACGAGCUUGGGUUAUCUCAGCUUCCUGAUGCUCCUUCUACUCAGCCUACGCAGGUUGCAAGAAGGCGACGUCGUUCGCCUUGUAGGUACACUCCAGGCACCGAUG
Molecule: long non-coding RNA, 386 nt
Organism: Sorghum bicolor (sorghum)
Lineage: Eukaryota; Viridiplantae; Streptophyta; Magnoliopsida; Poales; Poaceae
Exons: 3
Source: RefSeq, a predicted model, not a curated record